GCUUAACACAUGCAAGUCGAGGGGCAUCAGGAAGAUUGCUUGCUUUCUUUGCUGGCGACCGGCGCACGGGUGAGUAACACGUAUCCAACCUGCCCUUUACUCGGGGAUAGCCUUUCGAAAGAAAGAUUAAUACCCGAUAGCAUAAUGAUUCCGCAUGGUUUCAUUAUUAAAGGAUUCCGGUAAAGGAUGGGGAUGCGUUCCAUUAGGUUGUUGGUGGGGUAACGGCCCACCAAGCCUUCGAUGGAUAGGGGUUUUGAGAGGAAGGUCCCCCACAUUGGAACUGAGACACGGUCCAAACUCCUACGGGAGGCAGCAGUGAGGAAUAUUGGUCAAUGGGCGCUAGCCUGAACCAGCCAAGUAGCGUGAAGGAUGAAGGCUCUAUGGGUCGUAAACUUCUUUUAUAUAAGAAUAAAGUGCAGUAUGUAUACUGUUUUGUAUGUAUUAUAUGAAUAAGGAUCGGCUAACUCCGUGCCAGCAGCCGCGGUAAUACGGAGGAUCCGAGCGUUAUCCGGAUUUAUUGGGUUUAAAGGGAGCGUAGGUGGACUGGUAAGUCAGUUGUGAAAGUUUGCGGCUCAACCGUAAAAUUGCAGUUGAUACUGUCAGUCUUGAGUACAGUAGAGGUGGGCGGAAUUCGUGGUGUAGCGGUGAAAUGCUUAGAUAUCACGAAGAACUCCGAUUGCGAAGGCAGCUCACUGGACUGCAACUGACACCGAUGCUCGAAAGUGUGGGUAUCAAACAGGAUUAGAUACCCUGGUAGUCCACACAGUAAACGAUGAAUACUCGCUGUUUGCGAUAUACAGUAAGCGGCCAAGCGAAAGCAUUAAGUAUUCCACCUGGGGAGUACGCCGGCAACGGUGAAACUCAAAGGAAUUGACGGGGGCCCGCACAAGCGGAGGAACAUGUGGUUUAAUUCGAUGAUACGCGAGGAACCUUACCCGGGCUUAAAUUGCAGUGGAAUGAUGUGGAAACAUGUCAGUGAGCAAUCACCGCUGUGAAGGUGCUGCAUGGUUGUCGUCAGCUCGUGCCGUGAGGUGUCGGCUUAAGUGCCAUAACGAGCGCAACCCUUAUCUUCAGUUACUAACAGGUCAUGCUGAGGACUCUGGAGAGACUGCCGUCGUAAGAUGUGAGGAAGGUGGGGAUGACGUCAAAUCAGCACGGCCCUUACGUCCGGGGCUACACACGUGUUACAAUGGGGGGUACAGAAGGCAGCUAGCGGGUGACCGUAUGCUAAUCCCAAAAUCCUCUCUCAGUUCGGAUCGAAGUCUGCAACCCGACUUCGUGAAGCUGGAUUCGCUAGUAAUCGCGCAUCAGCCACGGCGCGGUGAAUACGUUCCCGGGCCUUGUACACACCGCCCGUCAAGCCAUGGGAGCCGGGGGUACCUGAAGUACGUAACCGCAAGGAUCGUCCUAGGGUAAAACUGGUGACUG
This 1428-nucleotide ribosomal RNA is filed under the name uncultured organism. RNAcentral describes it as "SSU rRNA". It matches the Rfam family "Bacterial small subunit ribosomal RNA". The record is from RNAcentral.